Molecule: ribosomal RNA, 1260 nt
Filed under: Salmonella enterica
Lineage: Bacteria; Pseudomonadati; Pseudomonadota; Gammaproteobacteria; Enterobacterales; Enterobacteriaceae
Description: partial 23S ribosomal RNA
Rfam family: Bacterial large subunit ribosomal RNA
Source: RNAcentral
UGAGAGAACUCGGGUGAAGGAACUAGGCAAAAUGGUGCCGUAACUUCGGGAGAAGGCACGCUGACACGUAGGUGAAGUGAUUUACUCAUGGAGCUGAAGUCAGUCGAAGAUACCAGCUGGCUGCAACUGUUUAUUAAAAACACAGCACUGUGCAAACACGAAAGUGGACGUAUACGGUGUGACGCCUGCCCGGUGCCGGAAGGUUAAUUGAUGGGGUCAGCGCAAGCGAAGCUCCUGAUCGAAGCCCCGGUAAACGGCGGCCGUAACUAUAACGGUCCUAAGGUAGCGAAAUUCCUUGUCGGGUAAGUUCCGACCUGCACGAAUGGCGUAAUGAUGGCCAGGCUGUCUCCACCCGAGACUCAGUGAAAUUGAACUCGCUGUGAAGAUGCAGUGUACCCGCGGCAAGACGGAAAGACCCCGUGAACCUUUACUAUAGCUUGACACUGAACAUUGAGCCUUGAUGUGUAGGAUAGGUGGGAGGCUUUGAAGUGUGGACGCCAGUCUGCAUGGAGCCGACCUUGAAAUACCACCCUUUAAUGUUUGAUGUUCUAACGUGGACCCGUGAUCCGGGUUGCGGACAGUGUCUGGUGGGUAGUUUGACUGGGGCGGUCUCCUCCUAAAGAGUAACGGAGGAGCACGAAGGUUGGCUAAUCCUGGUCGGACAUCAGGAGGUUAGUGCAAUGGCAUAAGCCAGCUUGACUGCGAGCGUGACGGCGCGAGCAGGUGCGAAAGCAGGUCAUAGUGAUCCGGUGGUUCUGAAUGGAAGGGCCAUCGCUCAACGGAUAAAAGGUACUCCGGGGAUAACAGGCUGAUACCGCCCAAGAGUUCAUAUCGACGGCGGUGUUUGGCACCUCGAUGUCGGCUCAUCACAUCCUGGGGCUGAAGUAGGUCCCAAGGGUAUGGCUGUUCGCCAUUUAAAGUGGUACGCGAGCUGGGUUUAGAACGUCGUGAGACAGUUCGGUCCCUAUCUGCCGUGGGCGCUGGAGAACUGAGGGGGGCUGCUCCUAGUACGAGAGGACCGGAGUGGACGCAUCACUGGUGUUCGGGUUGUCAUGCCAAUGGCACUGCCCGGUAGCUAAAUGCGGAAGAGAUAAGUGCUGAAAGCAUCUAAGCACGAAACUUGCCCCGAGAUGAGUUCUCCCUGAGACUUUAGGUCUCCUGAAGGAACGUUGAAGACGACGACGUUGAUAGGCCGGGUGUGUAAGCGCAGCGAUGCGUUGAGCUAACCGGUACUAAUGAACCGUGAGGCUUAACCUUACA